RNAcentral lists this ribosomal RNA (1471 nucleotides) under Candidatus Yanofskyibacteriota bacterium. RNAcentral describes it as "bacterial SSU rRNA". It matches the Rfam family "Bacterial small subunit ribosomal RNA". Lineage: Bacteria; Candidatus Yanofskyibacteriota. The record is from RNAcentral.
GAGAGUUUGAUUCUGGCUCAGGAUGAAUGCUGGCGGCGUGGAUAAGGCAUGCAAGUCGAACGGUGCAGGGUAGCAAUACUUUGCAUAGUGGCGAACGAGUUAGUAACACCUUGGUACAUACCUCGAAGUCGGGCACAACUAGUCGAAAGAUUAGCUAAUUCCCGAUAGUCCCGAAAGGGUAAAGUCGCAAGACGCUUUGAGAGUGGCCUAGGUCCUAUCAGCUUGUUGGCGGGGUAAAAGCCCACCAAGGCUAUGACGGGUAGGGGGCGUGAGAGCGCGACCCUCAACGACGAAACUGAGAUACGGUUCGUACACCUACGGGUGGCAGCAGUCGAGAAUAUUCGACAAUGGGCGAAAGCCUGAUCGAGCGACGCCGCGUGCGGGAAGAAGUCCUUAGGGAUGUAAACCGCUUUUGUUAGGGAAGAAUUUUGACGGUACCUGACGAAUAAGGGGUUGCUAACUCUGUGCCAGCAGCAGCGGUAAUACAGAGACCCCGAGCAUUAUCCGGAAUUACUGGGCGUAAAGAGCGAGUAGCCGGUUGUAUUAGUCUGAUGUUAAAUCCCAAGGCUUAACUUUGGGACCGCGUCGGAAACGGUACGACUAGAGCAGCUGAGAGGUAAGCGGAACGUGCAGUGUAGGGGUGAAAUCCAUUGAUAUUGCACGGAACACCAAAAGCGAAGGCAGCUUACUGGCAGUUUGCUGACGGUCAAUCGCGAAAGCGUGGGGAUCAAAAAGGAUUAGAUACCCUUGUAGUCCACGCCCUAAACUAUGCACAUUAGCUAUUGGGAGCAUCGACCCUUCCAGUGGCGUAGCCAACGCGUUAAAUGUGCCGCCUGGGAAGUACGAGCGCAAGCUUAAAACUCAAAGAAAUAGGCGGGAAUUCGCACAAGCAGUGGAUCAUGUGGUUCAAUUCGACUCUAACCGAGGAACCUCACCAAGGUUUGAAACUCAGCUGCAUACUCUGGAAACAGAGUAGCCUUCGAGGGUGCUGAGCAGGUGCUGCACGGCUGUCGUCAGCUCGUCACGUGAGUGGUCUCCUUAAGUGGAUUAACGAGCGCAACCCGCAUCGUCUGUUACAAGUGUCAGACGAAACUGCUUUCGUAAGAAAGAGGAAGGUGCGGACGACGUCAAGUCAGCGUGGCCCUCUGAUACCUUGGGCUACACACAUGAUACAAUGGAUGUUACAAUGGGUCGCCAAACCGCGAGGUGGAGCUAAUCCCAUCAAAGGCAUCCCCAGUUCGGAUAGGAGGCUGAAACUUGCCUCCUUGAAGCCGGAAUUGCUAGUAAUCGCAGAUCAGCAUGCUGCGGUGAAUACGUUCUCGAAUUUUGCACUCACUGCCCGUCAAGUCAAGGGAGUCGGUAAUACCUGAAGACCCAUAUUAUACAUGGGGACACGGUAGGAUCGAUGACAGGGACUAAGUCGUAACAAGGCAAGGGUAGCGGAAGCUGCUCUUGGAUCACCUCCUUUCUA